UGAAAAUGUAUAAAUUUGAUAAUGCAUUAAUUUUGUUGUUUUCGUUAUUUAGAAUAAAAAUUUUGCAGUGAAGUGAAGUGAAUAAUGUCUAACAUAAGCAAAGUGUUUAGUGCUCUCGAAUAUAAGUGAAAAAUACGCAACUAAAAGUGUUUGCCAUGUGUUCAUUACAAACAUUGAAUUUAUUGCUGGAGCAAAAAAUGGCUGACACUUUCAGUUUUGUGAUUUUCUUUUCGAAAUAAUUCAAAUGCUUUUGCGACAUUCAACUCACGCCACUGGAAAAUUUGUGUUCAAAAACAC
Long non-coding RNA from Bradysia coprophila, 297 nucleotides. NCBI's taxonomy places the organism in Eukaryota, Metazoa, Arthropoda, Insecta, Diptera, Sciaridae. The record is from RefSeq and is a predicted model, not a curated record.